ACCUCCCUCAUUCACUCCCUCAUCUCCCCAUACUACGACCUUUCCUAUGACUCUGAUCAGCCAGAAAUCCCUGACCUUUCUUCUCCAACCUUGGCUCAACUCCAAGACACAACAACCUCUGAACAAACCUUAUAUGUCCCAUAAACCUAUGAACCUAUACCAUCUCUUUCAAUACCUCAUUCAUCACCCUCAAUAACCCUACCAACUUCUGAACCUCUCACUGAACCUUAUGAAACCACUCAAAUUCCC
This 249-nucleotide long non-coding RNA is filed under the name Lathyrus oleraceus (garden pea). RNAcentral's name for it is "Pisum sativum (pea) long non-coding RNA (PSAT_LNC021915)". The record is from RNAcentral. Lineage: Eukaryota; Viridiplantae; Streptophyta; Magnoliopsida; Fabales; Fabaceae.